Molecule: unclassified non-coding RNA, 334 nt
Filed under: Senecio sterquilinus
Lineage: Eukaryota; Viridiplantae; Streptophyta; Magnoliopsida; Asterales; Asteraceae
Description: partial contains external transcribed spacer and 18S ribosomal RNA
Source: RNAcentral
CAACUUCCACCUGGCUUACCUCCNUCAUUUAUGCGUCAUGACUUGUAUCGUCUUGAGCGUAUUGUGGGUUUCCUGUGUUGCAUACCUUUCUAAUGGUAUCGUUUUGAUUGAUCGAAGUCCCUUUUCAUCUUGUGUUGCUUUUUGCGACGCAUGAUGAACCUCKAGGCGGUCUCUAUGUUCCACUACGUUGAUGCUACUGUUUCGAUGUUGUGGCCCAUUGAGCGUUGCUUGGUUUUGUGGAUACAGAACAUGAUUUGGGCAUAGGGUUACUUGUGACUCUUGUUCUGUCCUUUAUCAGUGUUCUUUAUAACGACGGUUCAUGCGCGCCUAGGCU